Molecule: long non-coding RNA, 1459 nt
Filed under: Equus caballus (horse)
Lineage: Eukaryota; Metazoa; Chordata; Mammalia; Perissodactyla; Equidae
Description: lncRNA (ENSECAG00000053032.1)
Source: RNAcentral
GAGUGAAUCUAUCCAGGAAGUUGUCACACAGACACCAAAGUGGAAUGACUCCAGGGGGAGUUCAAAGGCUUCUGAAGACCACGGGACCGAACGUCCAGCCUGGGGAGGACGCAGAAACUUCGGGUUGCCUUAGCGCCCUGUGCGCGCUUUGGCCCGCCUCUCGCCAUGGCUGGGCUGUUGUUGAUUGACAUGUGUCUCGCCCAAUGGCCUGCAACCUGGAGGACGCCAGCCCAGCAACAGUGAGGACCAGCAACGGUGAGGACCGAGGCAGACGUGCUCAGAGGGCAAGAAACAACUGAUGCAAGGAAGGGGGAAAAGGAAAAGAAGGCAGGGGAAGUGGGAAAGGAGGAUGGAAAAAAGGCCAGAGAAAUGUGAGAUCUACAGUCUCCCUAGUUAUAAAACCACUGGGUCUGGUCCCCGGGGAAAGUUCCACAGGUGAGAGACCUGGAAGAGAAAGGAGGCACCACCCCUUGCCCUACAUCUGCCACCCAGGGCUCAGUCCUUCCUUGUGACCUCAGCCGGGAGCCUAGAGUCUUCCCCACCUGCCGAUCGGCCCCCGCGACUCCACACGGGCCCCUGCCCUGCCAACACUGCUGCCUCUCGGGGGCGCUUGCUCCCUCCCGUCUCCAGGGCAACCUGGAGAUGCGCUGGCCCUCCACACCUGCCGGAGACCAGUGGGAGCAGCCUGGGUUCACCUCGCAUGGGACACCGCUGCCGCCACACUUUUCUUCAAGAGUACGACAAGACGCUUCGGCGAGGAUCAUGCGUAGACGCAGAAUACAUGGACUGUAACCCGGCUUCCCCAAGCACCCUUGUGAGCGGGUGACGCAACGGGAGCUCUGCGACCGUAUGACCUGUGAUGUGUGAAUGGCCACCCCCGACAGGGUGCUGAAUAACGACUUCACGUGAGCCUGAGAGGGACGCACGUGCCCAUUCCUGUGGCUCGUGUUGCCGGGUGAUGGGGCGGGCACGGCGGCGCGCUCAGCAACGCGAGCAGCGCAGAGCGAGGGGGGCCACCAAUGCCGAAUGAGAGAAUUAGGACCCAAAUAUCCAGUCAGCCCGGAACAAUACCAUGAAUCCACAAAGCGAAAGCCCUGUGCUUGGGCCCUGAAACAUGGCUGCCUGAGUCCCAGAGCGGGGUGUGGCUUCACCGCAGCACGCGUGAGAAAGACUGCUGGAUUUGUUGUGUGUAAAGAGAGAGGGUGUCUGCCAAGCAGGGCUGUGACAGCAGACGUGUGAGGGGGACCCAUUUGCUGGCUUCAGUCUCCUUCGUGGGAAGGGAAUCUCUCUGAGGAACCUUCUAGAAGAUGUAGGGUGUUCCUUGUGCCUUUAAUUGCUUUGUGGUGGUCUCUAAGCAGGACUCUUGUGCACUGGCUCCAGUGAUGUCACCAGCAAGCCUGCUUUGGAAAUUCAGGCAGCCCCUCUGCAGAGCCUGGCCCAUCCAAGCCCAGCUGCUCAG